AGGGAAUAUUGCAAAAUGGGCGAAAGCCCGAUGCAGCAACGCCGCGUGGGCGAUGAAGGCCUUCGGGUCGUAAAGCCCUUUUUGAGGGGAUGAGGAAGGACAGUACCCUCAGAAUAAGCCUCGGCUAACUACGUGCCAGCAGCCGCGGUAAAACGUAGGAGGCGAGCGUUAUCCGGAUUUACUGGGCGUAAAGCGCGUGCAGGCGGAUUGGAGAGUUGGAUGUGAAAGCUCCCGGCUUAACUGGGAGAGGUCGUUCAAUACUUCCAGUCUUGAGUGCAGUAGAGGGAAGUGGAAUUCCGGGGGUAGUGGUGAAAUGCGUAGACAUCCGGAGGAACACCAGUGGCGAAAGCGGCUGCCUGGACUGUAACUGACGCUCAGACGCG
This 383-nucleotide ribosomal RNA is filed under the name uncultured bacterium. RNAcentral's name for it is "bacterial SSU rRNA". It matches the Rfam family "Bacterial small subunit ribosomal RNA", at positions 356 to 755 of the family's 1533-position model. The record is from RNAcentral.